RNAcentral lists this unclassified non-coding RNA (3316 nucleotides) under Hevea brasiliensis (rubber tree). Lineage: Eukaryota; Viridiplantae; Streptophyta; Magnoliopsida; Malpighiales; Euphorbiaceae. The record is from RNAcentral.
AUAUGAUCCAAAGCUUAGUGAGCUCAGGGGAACAAUAUCUACCAAUGAUGUGAAUGCAGAUAAGCUGGCAAUACAUUUCCAAGAUGACAAUGCUUCAAGGGGUGGUGGCUCUACAAAUGGACUUCACAAGGUUGAUUAUGCAGAUUCUAUUCAGGACAGCCGGCGUACAGGUGCUAAGAGAAGGAAGUCUGGUUCUGUGAAGAGGUUUAAGAAGGACUUGGAUAUGUGUGAAUCACUUUGCUUACAAAGUUCACCAUUUUUCUUAAAACCUUCACCAUUGAACGUUUCUGUUGGCUCUGGUGGGGCAACUGCACAACUAGGAAUUGAAAAUGGGACUUUGGUAGGGACUAAUUCAAGUCACAAGCCAGUGGGUGUGAAUUCUACAACUAUCACCAAGAUCCUCAAACCAAUAGGCUUCUCAGCUUCUGUGAUGGACAAUGUUCAGGAUGUGCUGGUAACUUUUGUGGCAUUGAGGUUUGUCUUCUUAAUUCCCAACUUUUAGUGUCUUGUCUUAUUGGCAUAAAAUUUAUGUUUUUACAAUGGACCCUUCCCAAUACAGUGGAGGAAGUCUAAUAUACUGGAACACCUUUUUCCCUUGACAUUUUUAUACUUCUGUCAAUCCAUAGGACAGAGAAUCAUGCAGUUGCAGAUCUCUAUGAUAAUGGCACUGUACUGUUGGGUAUAAAACUAUAUUCUUAUUGAUAUCAUUGGUUGUUCAGGAAGGAUACCUUUCAUGUCAAAGUAGCAGAUGUAUGACAAUUGGGAAGUAGAUUGUAGAUCUAUGAAUGCUGUCAGUAGGUUAGCACAUUAGUUUAACAUUAGGUAAGAAUAGAAUUUAAUAUUAGAUAAAUGUCAUUGGCCUGAUUUUGUGUUUGUUAGCUUGAUUCUUGUCGUAUGGGUGUUGCUUGUGGUUUACGUGGUAAGGUUCAAGGGUUCAAGUAGAUCUUGAAGAUUGGUACUUGUGGGUGUUAAGUUUUGUGGCAGUCAAGGAAUGCUACAUUGAAAAACCUAAUGUUAGCUGGGCCUUCUUGGAGUUGCACCACUAAAAGUGUAUACUAAGAGCUUGGCUUUGCAUGCAUUUGUUAGUUUUGUUCUCUUCCGUUUUCAUGUUCUUUGUUUGAUUAUGUAUUUGGCAUGGAGUUGGUGCAUGGAGAUAAGUGAAUUGCUUGGAGAUUAGCUCUUAAUUGCUUAAUAUGGUUUUCAAAUCAACAGUCCUGGUGUUCUUGUGAUAUCUUAUUAGGAUGGCUUUUCCCCUCAGUCCCUCUCUAUAUUUAAUUUCAAUUAUUUCCUUUUCUUUCCUGAAAAGGUCUGAAGUAGUGGGGAGUAUUUAAGUGUUAGGAGGAACCAAUGGUAUGAAACAAGAUAUGAGAUAGGAAAUGAAAAAUAAUGGGGCUUCGGUCUCCAAUAUUUCAACUUUGUUAGAAAUAUUCAUCGCACAUUAUGUAAUGGUUAGAAUGGUGAUUGAGCCUUUGAAUGUUAGGAAAUGCAUUUAGGAGUAUUAAUUCAGAAAGGGAUUUGGCAGUUAUUCAAGGGAGUUGAUGGAUAUUAUUUAGAAUAAUGAGUGUUUAUUUGGAUAACUGCUAGUUUUUUUCAGAAAUUUAAAAGAUUUUAUUAUUAUUAUAUGUGGAAUUGGCUUGUUAAUUUGUAUCAGAGGAUGAUGUCAUGUUCUAUAAAGCUUUCACAUUCUGCUGAUCAAAAGUCUAUGAUCAAUGGUUUUCCCACUUAUUUCUCAAAACAUUGAUUCAAAAUUAUUAUAUUUCCAUUGGCAUAACAUAUUUUCUCUUAACUUUGUUAUUAAGCAACAGCCUGCCAAUAAAGCUACCUUGCCAAUAUUCUGAAAUGCUCUUCCAGCGCAUUGUUGAAGAUUUAACUUCCUUUUUGAGCUCACUUGCUGAUAUAGCUUACUCUCUCUCUCACUUGAUAAUGUCUCCAUAAAAAUUGCAUACUAAUUACUAGGAGUCCAAACAGAAUCCUUCAAAUGCUAGUAGGCAUUGCCUUUUUGUUUUCUUCACUCUCCUCCCACCCCCCUCUCUCUCUGUGGCUGUUGUCCUUUAAAUUUUCAAAUAUUUCAGAGUUCUGCAAAUAAACCUCUUACAGGGAUCUGCGCAUACCAUAUAUCAUUGCAGGUUUCUUCUUAUUUUUCGUACUUUGAUGAUUUGGGUUGGCAUAUUCAAAUAAAUGAUUUUUUUAAAUAUAUGAUUGUGAUCCUUACCAAAUAAUUUCCACCUGAAUUUGGUGCAUAGAUAUUGUAUCAGGCUUACAAAAUGCAAGGGUACGGUCUUAACUUUUGACAGUGGUGGUUAAUGGUCUUUUUAGUAUCUAGACUAAAAGACUUAAAGAGGCAUUGUCUAUAUAGAUGGGAAAUUUAAAGUAUUAAGAAAAAAAGAGGUUUAUUUUUCACUUAGAUGCACAAAUGGAAUCUUGGGUUUACUAUUGUUAUUAUUUUUUUGAUAUAAGAGAAAAGAUUGAUUACCCUAUCAGUUUUUGCCAAAAAUUCUUUAAUCUUUUCUGGAUUAGCCCUUUCAGGGUCCUGCUUGAGUGUAUGAGGAGUGGGUAAUUGCCGUUUUAGCACCUAGACCAAGGAAGACUUAGAGAGGCAUUGUCUGUAGAGAUGGGAAAUUUGAAGCACUAAGAAAAAGAGAAAGGUUUAUAGUUCACUUUGAUGCAAAAUUGGAAUAUUGGAUUUACCAUAAUAAUAAUGAUAAUAAUAAAUGGAUUGAUUAAGUUCAUGAUAUAGAAUGAUGAACGGUUAAUUUAUUCCAUUUCAUUACAUUGUGCUCUAUUGUAAUAUAGCAAACUUGCACUUGGUGUAUUAUUGCUGGAAUCUUGCUGUUGAGUAACCUCCUUCCCAGGCAGGGUAAUGCUUGUAAUCAUUCAGUAUUUUUUUUUUGACACUGUUUUGUACUACAUUAUGCGGUUGUGAGACCCUAUUGAGAAUUGCCUUAUUUUUCCUCAUUAAAUAGCCUCUCAAAGAAGCUCAAAACACCCUUGGCAAGCUGAUACUAGAAACUUCCAACAGUGUUUUUCUUUUGGCUCUUCUUUGUUUCUGGAUGCAAUUCAGCCAUCCAUCAAUGACCAAGGAACCUCUAUCAAUCUGUAAACCAUAUACCUGUCUUGUGUACAAUUCAAACCCUUGAAUCCCCAAUUCAUCUAUCGCUAGCCCACUACAAUGACUUCCAUAGAUAGGCAUGUCAUAUCCCUACAUCCAAAAAUUUGUAUGCAUUAGCUUAUGUAAAAAGAGGGAUACAGAAGUAGGAGCAUUGAGCUCUAUUAUUAUGUAAGGACUAUGUUAUUAGCUGUAAUUUUGGGUUUUAUG